AAAACAUCGCCUCUUGCAAUAAAACCAAGUAUAAGAGGUCCAGCCUGCCCGGUGACCACAAGUUUAACGGCCGCGGUAUUUUGACCGUGCAAAGGUAGCGCAAUCACUUGUCUUUUAAAUAAAGACCUGUAUGAAUGGCUAAACGAGGGCUUAACUGUCUCCCAUUUCAAGUCAGUGAAAUUGAUCUAUCCGUGCAGAAGCGGGUAUAAAUAUACAAGACGAGAAGACCCUUUGGAGCUUAAGGUAAAAACUCAACCACGUUAAGCAACUCAAUAAAAAGCAAUUUUUAACUUUGUGGUAAAUGAAAUAAUUGCCUUCGGUUGGGGCGACCACGGAGGAAAACAAAGCCUCCAAGUGGAAAGGGGUAAACCCUAAAACCAAGAGAGACAUCUCAAAGCCACAGAACAUCUGACCAUAAAGAUCCGGUUAACUAAAACCGAUCAACGAACCAAGUUACCCUAGGGAUAACAGCGCAAUCCUCUCCCAGAGUUCAUAUCGACGAGGGGGUUUACGACCUCGAUGUUGGAUCAGGACAUCCUAAUGGUGCAGCCGCUAUUAAGGGUUCGUUUGUUCAACGAUUAAAGUCCUACGUGA
RNAcentral lists this ribosomal RNA (594 nucleotides) under Barboides gracilis. Its description in RNAcentral is "partial 16S ribosomal RNA". It matches the Rfam family "Bacterial large subunit ribosomal RNA", at positions 1810 to 2603 of the family's 2925-position model. Lineage: Eukaryota; Metazoa; Chordata; Actinopteri; Cypriniformes; Cyprinidae. The record is from RNAcentral.